GAUGAACGCUAGCGGCAGGCUUAACACAUGCAAGUCGAGGGGUAUUGGUUUUCGGACCAAGAGACCGGCGCACGGGUGCGUAACGCGUAUGCAAUCUACCUUUUGCAGAGGGAUAGCCCCAGAGAAAUUUGGAUUAAUACCUCAUAGUAUAGUACUUUGGCAUCAAGGAACUAUUAAAGUCACAACGGCAAAGAUGAGCAUGCGUCCCAUUAGCUAGUUGGUAAGGUAACGGCUUACCAAGGCUACGAUGGGUAGGGGUCCUGAGAGGGAGAUCCCCCACACUGGUACUGAGACACGGACCAGACUCCUACGGGAGGCAGCAGUGAGGAAUAUUGGACAAUGGGCGCAAGCCUGAUCCAGCCAUGCCGCGUGCAGGAUGACGGUCCUAUGGAUUGUAAACUGCUUUUAUACAGGAAGAAACACUACUUCGUGAAGUAGCUUGACGGUACUGUAAGAAUAAGGAUCGGCUAACUCCGUGCCAGCAGCCG
Molecule: ribosomal RNA, 488 nt
Filed under: uncultured bacterium
Lineage: Bacteria
Description: bacterial SSU rRNA
Rfam family: Bacterial small subunit ribosomal RNA
Source: RNAcentral